CCCCCCUCAAGAUGAGAUUUCCCAACUUCGGUUAUAAGAUCCCUCAAAGAUGAUGAGGUUAAUAGGUUCGAGGUGGAAGCGUGGUGACACGUGGAGCUGACGAAUACUAAUCGAUCGAAGACUUAAUCAAUUU
RNAcentral lists this ribosomal RNA (133 nucleotides) under Staphylococcus haemolyticus. RNAcentral's name for it is "partial 23S ribosomal RNA". It matches the Rfam family "Bacterial large subunit ribosomal RNA", at positions 2793 to 2925 of the family's 2925-position model. The record is from RNAcentral. RNAcentral also lists the same sequence under 2 other names. Lineage: Bacteria; Bacillati; Bacillota; Bacilli; Caryophanales; Staphylococcaceae.